GACGAACGCUGGCGGCGUGCUUAACACAUGCAAGUCGAGCGAUGAAACUCCUUCGGGAGUGGAUUAGCGGCGGACGGGUGAGUAACACGUGGGUAACCUGCCUCAUAGAGGGGAAUAGCCUUCCGAAAGGAAGAUUAAUACCGCAUAAGAUUGUAGUACCGCAUGGUACAGCAAUUAAAGGAGUAAUCCGCUAUGAGAUGGACCCGCGGCGCAUUAGCUAGUUGGUGAGGUAACGGCUCACCAAGGCGACGAUGCGUAGCCGACCUGAGAGGGCGAUCGGCCACAUUGGGACUGAGACACGGCCCAGACUCCUACGGGAGGCAGCAGUGGGGAAUAUUGCACAAUGGGGGAAACCCUGAUGCAGCAACGCCGCGUGAGUGAUGACGGUCUUCGGAUUGUAAAACUCUGUCUUCAGGGACGAUAAUGACGGUACCUGAGGAGGAAGCCACGGCUAACUACGUGCCAGCCGCCGCGGUAA
Molecule: ribosomal RNA, 478 nt
Filed under: uncultured bacterium
Lineage: Bacteria
Description: partial 16S ribosomal RNA
Rfam family: Bacterial small subunit ribosomal RNA
Source: RNAcentral